GCAGUCGAGCGGAAGGCCCCUUCGGGGGUACUCGAGCGGCGAACGGGUGAGUAACACGUGAGCAACCUGCCCCUGACUCUGGGAUAAGCCCGGGAAACUGGGUCUAAUACCGGAUGUGACCAGCCUCCGCAUGGAGUGCUGGUGGAAAGUUUUUCGGUUGGGGAUGGGCUCGCGGCCUAUCAGCUUGUUGGUGGGGUGAUGGCCUACCAAGGCGACGACGGGUAACCGGCCUGAGAGGGCGACCGGUCACACUGGGACUGAGACACGGCCCAGACUCCUACGGGAGGCAGCAGUGGGGAAUAUUGCGCAAUGGGCGGAAGCCUGACGCAGCGACGCCGCGUGAGGGAUGACGGCCUUCGGGUUGUAAACCUCUUUCAGCAGGGACGAAGCUAACGUGACGGUACCUGCAGAAGAAGCGCCGGCUAACUACGUGCCAGCAGGG
RNAcentral lists this ribosomal RNA (442 nucleotides) under Actinomadura sp. YN-6-4. Its description in RNAcentral is "bacterial SSU rRNA". It matches the Rfam family "Bacterial small subunit ribosomal RNA", at positions 57 to 516 of the family's 1533-position model. The record is from RNAcentral. Lineage: Bacteria; Bacillati; Actinomycetota; Actinomycetes; Streptosporangiales; Thermomonosporaceae.